AAAUCACUAGGGGAGCUUUAUGCUGAGAAGAGUGUACUCUGACCCUUUGAACUUGAAGCAGUUAAUACUGUCGUAAGGAAGUGGAAAUGUUUU
Molecule: non-coding RNA, 93 nt
Filed under: Candidatus Pseudogracilibacillus intestinigallinarum
Lineage: Bacteria; Bacillati; Bacillota; Bacilli; Caryophanales; Bacillaceae
Description: TPP riboswitch (THI element)
Rfam family: TPP riboswitch aptamer (THI element)
About the family: Vitamin B(1) in its active form thiamin pyrophosphate (TPP) is an essential coenzyme that is synthesised by coupling of pyrimidine and thiazole moieties in bacteria. The previously detected thiamin-regulatory element, thi box was extended, resulting in a new, highly conserved RNA secondary structure, the THI element, which is widely distributed in eubacteria and also occurs in some archaea.
Source: RNAcentral